UCCUCUCCACCUCCACGUCGUCGUCUCCGCGGCUGAGGGUCGCCGCCAUCGAGGCCCGAUUUAGCUCUCUCGAGCUCAUCGGGAGUGGCUCUUUCGGCGAUGUCUUUAGAGGAGGAAGGCAAGAGGAGCACUUGAGUUUGUUUGGAGCAUACUUGACUUCCAAAAGGACCAAGAUGUGAGAAUUAAAGUUGGAUAUGAAAUAUCUCAGCAGAUCUUCAGGUAAACACAUUUACAUCAAUUUUGCAUGCUAGGAUGCUGCAUCUCUCGCAAUUGCAAUCAUGAAGAAAAACUUGAGAGGUCAAACGUUUUUAGGGUGUGAUGACAAUCCUUUAUCGCGGCAAGAAAUAAUGGAGUGUGUGAAACGAAGCGGAAAGUUCAGCAAGGAGUUGAAGAAGCUUCUGCAUUGUCAUAGCCAUUGUAAAUAAUUUAUGUAAAAGUUUGUAAAUAAUUUAUGUAUCUCUCUACUAUUUUGAUGAAUAUAUUAUUUGAAUAUAA
Long non-coding RNA from Asparagus officinalis (garden asparagus), 495 nucleotides. RefSeq lists it as uncharacterized. The record is from RefSeq and is a predicted model, not a curated record. Lineage: Eukaryota; Viridiplantae; Streptophyta; Magnoliopsida; Asparagales; Asparagaceae. The transcript has 4 exons.